This 506-nucleotide ribosomal RNA is filed under the name uncultured bacterium. RNAcentral describes it as "partial 16S ribosomal RNA". It matches the Rfam family "Bacterial small subunit ribosomal RNA", at positions 29 to 523 of the family's 1533-position model. The record is from RNAcentral.
AGUGAACGCUGGCGGUAGGCCUAACACAUGCAAGUCGAACGGCAGCACAGGAGAGCUUGCUCUCUGGGUGGCGAGUGGCGGACGGGUGAGGAAUACAUCGGAAUCUACUCUGUCGUGGGGGAUAACGUAGGGAAACUUACGCUAACACCGCAUACGACCUACGGGUGAAAGCAGGGGAUCUUCGGACCUUGCGCGAUUGAAUGAGCCGAUGUCGGAUUAGCUAGUUGGCGGGGUAAAGGCCCUCCAAGGCGACGAUCCGUAGCUGGUCUGAGAGGAUGAUCAGCCACACUGGAACUGAGACACGGUCCAGACUCCUACGGGAGGCAGCAGUGGGGAAUAUUGGACAAUGGGCGCAAGCCUGAUCCAGCCAUACCGCGUGGGUGAAGAAGGCCUUCGGGUUGUAAAGCCCUUUUGUUGGGAAAGAGAUCCAGCUGGCUAAUACCCGGUUGGGAUGACGGUACCCAAAGAAUAAGCACCGGCUAACUUCGUGCCAGCCGCCGCAGUAA